UUCUGCAAAAUUUUUACAGUAUUCUCUAAUUUAUACCCGGAAUUUCACAGGCUGUGUUCGCACGUAGCAAUUCGAAUAAUUAGUGAGUCAAGCUCACGACUCUAAACCGAAAAAGUCGGGAAAUACGUUCAGAAGAAUUACAUUAAACUAUGAACCCUCAACCUGCGGAGGUGGGUGGGAAAUUGGAACCAAGGAAGAUCAUUUUCGGUUUUUCCUAUAAAAACUUGAAAAAAUGGAUUUUUCAUUUCCCCAUUUAUUUAAAUUUAAGCAGAUCCUGAUUUUGAGAGCGCUGACCAUAGGAACAGGAACUUGAACGUCAGGUGUUGCUUUUCUUGACUUUAUAGAAAUAUAUUUUGAUGAGUUGAUGAAGAGGGAAAUAGGGCCGAGCAAUAUCUCUCUGUGUAAUGUAAGUAUACAAUGAUGUGAUGAUGUAUAUUAUAUCCGACGCUCUCUCGUUGGGUGGGAAGAAAAUUAGCCUGAAGUUGUUCUCACGCUGUCGCGUUUUCUUUUGGACUCCCUCUCUUUUUCGCGUGCCUCCUCUGAGAUUUUAACUUUUAUUUUGGUGGAGAAGAACUUUGAAGCUUCGUGGGCGUGGGGAAGGACUAACUGGAAUUCAAGCUUUCACUCCGUAACCCCUAAGUUCAAUUGAUUGCGAUUUGGGCAUGAGAAAACCACUGAACAAUUAGGAGAUAUGCAAGGAAAUAGGUAGGAAUUUGGGAUUUAAGCAUGUGGGGUUUUUGUCUUUGCUCAUUUUGGUAAGCUGGGUAUAAUGCAUUUGUUCUUGCAAGUUUCUGUAAAUUUGGAUGAACUCGCUUGUGCUCAGAAAAGUAUUUGGUGAUCUGAGUUUUCUGUUUUCACUGGAAACGCUCUCGUGAUCUGGGUUUUGCAGUUUUGCUUUUCAGUUUCAAAGUCUCUCAGUGACAUAGAGUGAUUAUAGAUAUGGGGUUUUGAUUGGCCAAGUUAUUGCCGAGUGAGAGAUCUAUUAUCUAGUGCGGAGAUUUGGAUUUUGGAAAAGAGAAGGGAUUGAUCACUGGCUUCAGUUCAGAGGAGACUGCUUCCAAUGUUUGAGUUUUUUCUGUAGAGACAUUGUGGUUUAUGAAGUCCUCGGGAAAGCUUUGAGGUUUGGGUAUAAUUGAUUGUACAAUUUCAUCUGAGUGGGAAUUCUAGGUUUGGAUCUUUUGAUCAUAGAGCGAAAUUUCGGUAGAGAUGGCGUCACCUGUUUCAAAUUCUCCUCCUGCUGCAGUUCCGCCGGCUUCGGCUACUAGCCCACCACCUUCCCCGUCAACGGCUGCGGAAUCUCCCUCAGUGACUCGGCCCAAUGCCACUCCGGGCUCACCGGUUCCCACAACUCCACCAGUUCAAUCCCCUCCCCCGCCUGCUACUACCGUUCCUCCUCCCGCUACACCAUCGCCCCCACCGCCAACUCCUACUGCUCCCCCUCCAGCACCGCCACCUUCUCCUCCUGCAGUCUCCCCACCACCGGCUGUGCCUUCAUCACCCUCCCCAGUAGUAUCCCCUCCACCUCCCGUUGUGGUUCCCUCUCCACCUCCUCCUGCAGGUUCUCCUCCUCCCCCAGUUUCCCCUUUGCCACCUGCAGCAUCACCGCCUCCACCUCAAGCAGUCUCACCUUCUCCGCCGCCAGCAGUUGUCUCUCCUCCUCCUCCUCCUCCUCCUUCGGCCACUGUUCCGCCCCCAUCGCCCUCCAAUUCUCCCCCAACACCGUCGACAGAACCUCCUGCAGGUUCACCUCCACCUCCCCCUCCACCUCGAAGGCAUGCACCCCCUCCUCCUGGUUCUCAACCGGCACCUCCACCAUCCCCAAAGUCUCCUCCAGCCCCAUCGUCACCAUCACCCAGUGAGCCACCAGUUGCCACUCCACCACCUCCCUCGCCCCCUUCUUCUUCUUCUUUUUCUCCUCCUCCUCCUCCUCCUCCUCCUCCUAGUAAUUCAUCUACUCCUCAAAAUCCUUCACUUCCCUCACAAUCUUCUCCAACUGAUCCUACAAAUGCAUCACACUCCAUCUCACCUCGUGCUGUAGUGGCAAUUAGUGUUGUAGCAGGCUUUAUAGUUCUUGCUCUGAUUGGAAUAGCCGUCUGGUGUGUAAAGAAGCAAAAGAAGAAAAGUGUUGGAUAUAAUGGUGGCUAUAUCAUGCCUUCGCCAGCAGCCUCUUCCCCGAAGUCGGAUUCAUACAUUUUAAAGGCCCAUUCUUCAGCUCCACUUGUAGGAAGUGGCUCUAGCAGUGGUUUUAUGUAUUCACCAACGGAGCCAGGUGGUUUGAGCAAUUCAAAGUCAUGGUUCACAUAUUCAGAACUAGUAGAGGCCACAAAUGGUUUUUCCCCACAUAAUCUUUUGGGCGAAGGUGGAUUUGGUUGUGUGUACAAAGGUUACCUGCCAGAUGGAAGAGAGGUGGCUGUGAAACAGCUCAAGGAUGGUGGUGGACAAGGAGAGCGUGAAUUCAGAGCUGAAGUUGAAAUUAUUAGCCGUGUACACCAUCGCCAUUUGGUUUCACUGGUUGGCUACUGCAUAUCAGAGAGUCAGAGAUUGCUGGUUUAUGAUUAUGUCCCGAACAACACUCUUCAUUACCAUCUGCAUGGGGAAGGGAGGCCAGUUAUGGAAUGGGCGACCAGAAUUAAGGUUUCUGCUGGUGCAGCUCGCGGAAUUGCUUACCUGCAUGAAGACUGUCACCCACGCAUUAUUCACAGGGAUAUUAAGUCAUCAAACAUUCUUUUAGAUAAUAACUUUGAAGCUCAAGUUUCAGAUUUUGGGCUUGCAAAGUUAGCUCUGGACACAUACACCCAUGUCACUACACGUGUGAUGGGAACCUUUGGAUACAUGGCACCAGAGUAUGCAUCAAGUGGCAAAUUGACUGAGAAGUCAGAUGUGUACUCUUUUGGAGUUGUGCUUCUUGAGCUAAUUACUGGUCGCAAACCUGUGGAUGCGUCUCAGCCCUUGGGAGAUGAGAGUCUAGUUGAAUGGGCUCGACCUUUGCUUACACAUGCACUUGAUAAUGAAGAAUUUGAAGAGUUGGUAGAUCCAAGGCUUGAAAAGAACUAUGUGGAAAGUGAAAUGUUCAGGAUGAUUGAAGCAGCUGCAGCAUGUGUGCGUCAUUCAGCAGCAAAGAGACCUCGAAUGAGCCAGGUGGUGAGAACUCUUGACAGUAUAGGGGACCCAUCAGAUCUUAGUAAUGGAAUGAAACCAGGCCAAAGUGAAAUCUUUGACUCUAGAGAACAGUCCAGAGAAUUAAGAAUGUUUCGGAGGAUGGCUUUUGGUAGUCAAGAUUACAGUUCAGAUUUUUUCAGCCAAAAUAGCUGGAGGACUUGAGAUUGUUGAUUCUGUACAGUGAUAGGUGUUUCUGAAUUUCCAAGAAGUUAGAAGGCAAUUCUUUAUUGUGGUAAACUUCAUGUAAUGUGCAAAUUACUCGGCCAAAUUUUGAUGCUGUCUCGUUGUAAUCUCAGACUCGGCCAAAAACAGCAUGAAGACCAAGCCUCCUGAGUGAGGUCAUUCAACCAGGUUCCUCCAAAUUACAAGCCUCUUGUAAUGUGCAAAUUCAAGCCUCCUGCUUAUGCUGGAAGUUGCUUCAAUCUGUGGGUAUUUCGUUGUUUUCCUUUUUUUAACUCUCUGAGACCAAGUAAAACUGUUCACAGAGAAUAGGGCGUUCUUUUGCUUGAAAGUUGGAAUCGGAAGAAAUAUAAAAAAUUCAAGGAAGAAAAUCUUUAAGGUUA
Nelumbo nucifera (sacred lotus) is the source of this 3722-nucleotide RNA transcript. It is a transcript of the gene named proline-rich receptor-like protein kinase PERK8, with no coding region annotated. Lineage: Eukaryota; Viridiplantae; Streptophyta; Magnoliopsida; Proteales; Nelumbonaceae. The record is from RefSeq and is a predicted model, not a curated record.